This 394-nucleotide ribosomal RNA is filed under the name uncultured bacterium. RNAcentral describes it as "bacterial SSU rRNA". It matches the Rfam family "Bacterial small subunit ribosomal RNA", at positions 775 to 1167 of the family's 1533-position model. The record is from RNAcentral.
GGAUUAGAAACCCUGGUAGUCCAUGCCGUAAACGUUGGGCACUAGGUGUGGGGGACAUUCCACGUUUUCCGCGCCGUAGCUAACGCAUUAAGUGCCCCGCCUGGGGAGUACGGCCGCAAGGCUAAAACUCAAAGGAAUUGACGGGGGCCCGCACAAGCGGCGGAGCAUGCGGAUUAAUUCGAUGCAACGCGAAGAACCUUACCAAGGCUUGACAUGAACCGGAAACGCCUGGAAACAGGUGCCCCACUUGUGGUCGGUUUACAGGUGGUGCAUGGUUGUCGUCAGCUCGUGUCGUGAGAUGUUGGGUUAAGUCCCGCAACGAGCGCAACCCUCGUUCCAUGUUGCCAGCGGGUAGUGCCGGGGACUCAUGGGAGACUGCCGGGGUCAACUCGGA